GAAAUAUUAAAAAGUAAGCUUCUAACUUAACUUAAAAGCAUUGAGUGUUUAUAUUUCU
RNAcentral lists this transfer RNA (58 nucleotides) under Tenebrionoidea sp. 6 KM-2017. RNAcentral describes it as "tRNA-Ser". Lineage: Eukaryota; Metazoa; Arthropoda; Insecta; Coleoptera. The record is from RNAcentral.